UGUAGGAUUUAAAUAUUUAGUAUAAAGCUUAAGAGAAGGCUGGAGUCUAAAGAUGAAAGUCUAAACUAUUAAGAGGCUUACUGAAAAAGAUGAAAGCAAGGUAUGAUUGGAUGAAGGUAAGAGGUGAAGAUCUUCAUCCCUAUUGGUCGAAUGUCAUGUCCAAUAGACUUCAAGGAGGCUGUCCGGGGCCUUAUUAGGAAUUAGAGUUUCUCUUCUAAGGUUAUUCGAGCUUUGGAGGCUAAAGUCAGCAAGUUUAGAUUUUUGGAUAUGGUUUGAAUGCAAAUUUUGUAUGAUUUGGAAUUUUUAUGAAGGAGUUAUAGGUGCUCAAAGUUAAGGUGUCAAUUUUGCACCUAUUGUCACUCUUUGGGGCAUACCAUAUGCUUAUGGAGAGCAACAAAGGAUUGGCAAUUGGGGUUGGAGAGGGCACUU
Molecule: long non-coding RNA, 429 nt
Filed under: Physcomitrium patens
Lineage: Eukaryota; Viridiplantae; Streptophyta; Bryopsida; Funariales; Funariaceae
Description: long non-coding RNA (PPAT_LNC000905)
Source: RNAcentral